Molecule: ribosomal RNA, 514 nt
Filed under: Gonypetella sp. MN293
Lineage: Eukaryota; Metazoa; Arthropoda; Insecta; Mantodea; Chroicopteridae
Description: partial 16S ribosomal RNA
Rfam family: Bacterial large subunit ribosomal RNA
Source: RNAcentral
GGUUUCUUGAAUUAAAAUAAGAGAUUUAACCUGCCCACUGAUUAUGAGUUGAAGGGCCGCAGUAUUUUGACUGUGCAAAGGUAGCAUAAUCAUUAGUCUUUUAAUUGAAGGCUGGAAUGAAUGGUUGGACGAGGUAAUAUCUGUUUCAUAUUAAUUUAAAUCGAAUUUAAAUUUUAAGUUAAAAGGCUUAAAUGGCAUUAAGGGACGAGAAGACCCUAUAGAGUUUAAUAUAGUAAAUUUUAUAUUAGGUUAAGGCUUAAUUUUUAAUAGUUGAGGAAUAUAUUUGAUUGGGGUGAUUGAAAAAUAAAAUGAACUUUUUUUUGUUAUUGAUAUUAUAUAUAAUUAUUUGAUCCAUGAUUUGUGAUUGUAAGAUUAAAUUACCUUAGGGAUAACAGCAUAAUUUUUUUUAAGAGUUCUUAUCAAAAAGAAAGAUUAUGACCUCGAUGUUGGAUUAAGAUAAAUUUUGGGUGUAGAAGUUUAAAAAUUAAGUCUGUUCGACUUUUAAAAUCUUACA